GUCUAUGGCCAUACCACCCUGAACGCGCCCGAUCUUGUGUGAUCUCGGAAGCUAAGCAGGGUCGGGCCUGGUUAGUACUUGGAUGGGAGACUAUAUGAUUGUGCUCUGGGCCAGAAAAU
This is a ribosomal RNA of Cavia aperea (Brazilian guinea pig), 119 nucleotides long. The record is from Ensembl. Lineage: Eukaryota; Metazoa; Chordata; Mammalia; Rodentia; Caviidae.